UUGGAGGGCAAGUCUGGUGCCAGCAGCCGCGGUAAUUCCAGCUCCAAUAGCGUAUAUUAAAGUUGUUGCAGUUAAAAAGCUCGUAGUUGAAUUUCGGGGUUAGUAGGUUGGUCAUGCCUCUGGUAUGUACUGGUCUCACUGAUUCCUCCUUCCUGAUGAAUCUUAAUGCCAUUAAUUUGGUGUUUUGGGGAAUUUGGACUGUUACUUUGAAAAAAUUAGAGUGUUUAAAGCAAGCUAACGCUUGAAUACAUUAGCAUGGAAUAAUGAAAUAGGACGUUCGAUCCUAUUUUGUUGGUUUCUAGGAUUGACGUAAUGAUUAAUAGGGAUAGUUGGGGGCAUUAGUAUUCAAUUGUCAGAGGUGAAAUUCUUGGAUUUAUUGAAGACUAACUACUGCGAAAGCAUUUGCCAAGGAUGUUUUCAUUAAUCAAGAACGAAAGUUAGGGGAUCGAAGACGAUCAGAUACCGUCGUAGUCUUAACCAUAAACUAUGCCGACUAGGGGUCGGAUGAUGUUAAUUUUUUAAUGACUCAUUCGGCGCCUUACGGGAAACCAAAGUGUUUGGGUUC
This 565-nucleotide ribosomal RNA is filed under the name uncultured Glomus. Its description in RNAcentral is "SSU rRNA". It matches the Rfam family "Eukaryotic small subunit ribosomal RNA", at positions 548 to 1114 of the family's 1831-position model. Lineage: Eukaryota; Fungi; Glomeromycota; Glomeromycetes; Glomerales; Glomeraceae. The record is from RNAcentral.